CUCUGCCCAAUCAGUCUCAAAAGUCUAAAACGCGUCUUGUCCCUUCAUUUUCUAUUCUCCUUCAAGACGUUUCGAAAAACCAAGAGCUUAGUAUAAUCACUCUGAAAUCUGCUCUACUCCGAAACCAUCCCUCCAUUUCUCCCUUAACCUGCUUCAGUCUGGUUCUCUCACCCUUUCGAUUUCUUCUUGAAUCUCUGCGACUCCAGGGACUCGUCCGACCAGGGCUUUCCUGCAUGCGAUUGCUUCCGCUCCAAAGGCUGACGAAACCCAUUGAUGAACCUCCGAACAAGAUAAGAGAACUGAACCCUCUUUGUCUCUGACCACAACUCCUAUAGCCGCUUUAUUUUGUCCUCUUUCAUAAGCUGCAUCAAAAUUGAUUUUGACAAAUCUGUUCGUUGGUUUUACCUAUUUAUUCACAGUUAUGGAAGUUUGUCGACUAGUUUUAUCAACUGAAUCUAACUCUAAAAUGUAACUAUUAACAAAUCUCCCUAUUUUUUUGCAGAUUUGCCUCCUUUAUUAUGUAAUCUGUUGUUUCUAUCACCCCAAAUAGCCCAAACUGCAACACAAAAAAUUCGACGGUGGGAUGCUAAACACUGUGAAAAAACCCAGGGCAUUCUCGAAAAAGAUGUUCCAUGGAUUCAGAUCCAGAACCACACCGAGGACACAUUGAAUUACUAGUUAGUCGUCUAAGUAGCAUAUUAACGCGAGUAGCUAGGAAAUUCCACGAGAUCUUCUAAACUGUAAUUUUAAUUUUUGAAGGUAGAUCGAGAAGUCAUAGUUUCCUGUAGAAGUCCUUAUAGUGAUCUUGUAAAGCAUAAGCUCUAGGAUCAUUUGCAGUAUUUUGUAAUAGUUUAUAGGCGCUACGUACUGUGAACUCCCCCGACGCUUCAGCACUCCAAACUUGAAAAUCUUCGUGUGGUCUUUCAGCCAGCGGGAUACUGAGAAUCAUCUCGGCUACAUCCUCCGAGAAGGUGGUAUCUGAGUGCAAUUACUCAUCUCAUGCCCCAUUCUUCCACAUCCAAAACAGAACAAUGGCAGAUUUUCAUACUUAAAAGGGAUCCAAAUUUUACUAACAUAAUUAGUAUAGACAAAAAUACCUCUUCUAAGUGGUUUCUGGGCAUCUAAAUUGAUUCUGAGUCGACAAAAUUUCUCACUAACUUCAGAUCUGAGAACCCCACCAAACGUUCCACCAAUAGCAUGCAGUAAAUCUUUCUUAUCGAAUUUUGGAGAACACGAUUCAAUUUUUAUCCAAAACGGGGAUAAAGUAAGCUUGAUCUGAUCCCUCUCCAUCGCUUGGCAUAGUCUGUCAAACAGAAUUAAAUUUUUUCGAAAACGCCAAGGCCUCCCCUCCAAAAUCAAUUCUAGAUCUUCUUCCAACUCAAAAAUUAUUAGAAAUAAAUUUUGACCCACCACCUGGAUCUCAAACUUCUUCCUUAUCUUCCAUAUAUCUUUCAUAUGAGCCCUAAAGCUAUCUGGGUUAUACAUCUUUUCUGUCCAAACCGUACAUAUCAAUGUAGGUUUAGAAUUUGGUACCACCAUCGAGCUUUUGACUGAUAACUGAACUAGUUCUUCGGCAAGAAGAGAGAUCUCAUCCCUCCUCUCUCG
Long non-coding RNA from Gossypium raimondii (Peruvian cotton), 1605 nucleotides. RefSeq lists it as uncharacterized. The transcript is spliced from 4 exons. The record is from RefSeq and is a predicted model, not a curated record. Lineage: Eukaryota; Viridiplantae; Streptophyta; Magnoliopsida; Malvales; Malvaceae.